GCAACGAGCAAUGUGCCAUCAGGAUGGCUUGGCCCUCUCCAGUCAUCUGAGCCCUCAGCUGAGGAUGUGCCCGAGCCUGAUGUAGAUGAGCCCGAGCCUGAUGUAGAUGAGCCAAUGUCUAGUAGCCAUCUUGAUGACCAUGCUUCAAUCGAAGAUCCUCAACUAGUCAGGCUAGAAAGCCUGCAUGCCCAGAGAGAUCUACACAACCAGUUUGCCCAACGUAAUGCAUAGACAUUACUCCACCAAAUAUGUAGCAAACAACUCCACAGAGAGACAACAGGAUUUUGGAGGAUGUCCAUCAUAUGUUUGUGGACAUGGAGGAAAAACUAAAACAAGAUCCAACCACCUACGUAGAAUCGUACAAGGCUAUGCUCAGAGCAUAUGGUCGUUUAAAAACAGACAGUGCCCUUGUAUCAGCAAUCCGAAUGUUUGGCAGGUAUAGCGGAGUAAAUCUUGCUAAAAGGAAGGUGAAGUCGAAGGCAGGAGUCUCGGGUGGACUGCUACAGUCAUCUGGCCCCAGCAUCCCUGUUCAGCCCUCAGCCAUAUCACGCCGUCGACUGAAACUCGGAGGGAGGAGGAAACUAAAUAAGGGACGUCCAACCAAACAGUCUGCCAUGAAAGAGCAAGCCUUUUCUAGACCAUCUUCAUCAGCCAUAAUUCCAUCCAAGAAAAAGCGUGUUGCUGCACCACAUUCCCUUGGACAUGCAGUGACUAUGUGCCAAUCUUUAGGGAAGACACAUAGUGCAAAAUAAUUGAGUAUGCUCAACCAAACACCUUCAUCUUCAGGCGAAUUACCAGAAGAUUAUAUACCAGAAGCCGUGGCCCACUGCAUGAAUAAGGCACAGCGGGAUUAUAUGCCAGAUAUACCGAUCCUCUAUAAUUCUUCCAAAGACUUAGGAGGGGUUUAGUACAUCCGGUAUAAAAUGCUGUUUUGCGGUUUUCCCGCAGUGGGCCGCAGCUUUAUCUUUUGGUAAGUCACCUAAGCUGUCAUUAUGCACUGGAUGUGUCCCAAAAAAGUAUUAUUUGGACUAUAUUUGGGAUAGUUAUGACUUUUGUUUUUCAAUUCUGCUGAUGUCAUAUCUUUGCAAACAAAUUACCACCUUGAAAGCUAUUUCUUAUUUGCUAACAAUUGCCUGAUUUUGUGAUACUUUUUCCCUUUUUAGUCUCACUUUCAUGAUAAUCAACAUCCA
This is an RNA transcript of Strongylocentrotus purpuratus (purple sea urchin), 1190 nucleotides long. RefSeq lists it as uncharacterized. The record is from RefSeq and is a predicted model, not a curated record. The transcript has 3 exons. NCBI's taxonomy places the organism in Eukaryota, Metazoa, Echinodermata, Echinoidea, Camarodonta, Strongylocentrotidae.